This 50-nucleotide ribosomal RNA is filed under the name Rhizoctonia solani. Its description in RNAcentral is "partial 28S ribosomal RNA". Lineage: Eukaryota; Fungi; Basidiomycota; Agaricomycetes; Cantharellales; Ceratobasidiaceae. The record is from RNAcentral.
AAAUCAGGUAGGACUACCCGCUGAACUUAAGCAUAUCAAUAAGCGGAGGC